AGUGAACGCUGGCGGCAGGCCUAACACAUGCAAGUCGAACGCCCCGCAAGGGGAGUGCCAGACGGGUGAGUAACGCGUGGGAAUAUUCCCUUUGGUUCAGGAUAGCCCCGGGAAACUGGGAUUAAUACUGGAUAAGAUCUACGGAUGAAAGAUUUGUCGCCGAAGGAUUAGCCCGCGUAAGAUUAGUUAGUUGGUGAGGUAAUGGCUCACCAAGACAAUGAUCUUUAGCUGGUCUGAGAGGAUGAUCAGCCACACUGGAACUGAGACACGGUCCAGACUACUGCGGGAGGCAGCAGUGAGGUAUAUUGGACAAGGGGCGCGAGCCUGAUAAAGACAUGCCGGGUGAGUGAUGAAGGCCGUAGGGUUAUAAAACUCUUUUAGUGGGGAGAAUAAUGAUGGUACCCACAGAAAAAGCUCCGGCUAACUUCGUGCCAGCCGCCGCCGUAA
This 447-nucleotide ribosomal RNA is filed under the name uncultured bacterium. RNAcentral's name for it is "partial 16S ribosomal RNA". It matches the Rfam family "Bacterial small subunit ribosomal RNA", at positions 29 to 523 of the family's 1533-position model. The record is from RNAcentral.